RNAcentral lists this ribosomal RNA (497 nucleotides) under uncultured bacterium. Its description in RNAcentral is "partial 16S ribosomal RNA". It matches the Rfam family "Bacterial small subunit ribosomal RNA", at positions 28 to 507 of the family's 1533-position model. The record is from RNAcentral.
GAUGAACGCUGGCGGCGUGCCUAAUACAUGCCAGUCGAGCGAACGGACGAGGCGCUUGCUUGUCUGAUGUUAGCGGCGGACGGGUGAGUAACACGUGGAUAACCUACCUAGAAGACUGGGAUAACUUCGGGAAACCGGAGCUAAUACCGGAUAAUAUUUUGAACCGCAUGGUUCAAAAGUGAAAGACGGUCUUGCUGUCACUUAUAGAUGGAUCCGCGCUGCAUUAGCUAGUUGGUAAGGUAACGGCUUACCAAGGCAACGAUGCCUAGCCGACCUGAGAGGGUGAUCGGCCACACUGGAACUGAGACACGGUCCAGACUCCUACGGGAGGCAGCAGUAGGGAAUAUUCCGCAAUGGGCGAAAGCCUGACGGAGCAACGCCGCGUGAGUGAUGAAGGUCUUCGGAUCGUAAAACUCUGUUAUUAGGGAAGAACAUAUGUGUAAGUAACUGUGCACAUCUUGACGGUACCUAAUCAGAAAGCCACGGCUAACUACGUG